This 293-nucleotide ribosomal RNA is filed under the name uncultured bacterium. Its description in RNAcentral is "partial 16S ribosomal RNA". The record is from RNAcentral.
GGACUACAGGGGUUUCUAAUCCUGUUUGCUACCCACGCUUUCGCGCAUCAGCGUCAGAUGCCGGCCAGUGUACUGCCUUCGCCAUGGGUGUUCCUCCUGAUAUCAACGCAUUUCACCGCUACACCAGGAAUUCCAUACACCUCUCCGACCCUCCAGUCUGCCAGUAUGCAGAGCAGUUUCCGGGUUGAGCCCUGGAGAUUUCACUCUACACUUAACAGACCGCCUACGCGCUCUUUACGCCCAGUAAAUCCGGACAACGCUUGGACCCUACGUCUUACCGCGGCUGCUGGCAC